UUUUCAAAGAGGUCAUGUUGAUGAUCAUGGCCUAAAAGUCCCUUGUGGUCAUGUUUUUCAUGCAAAUUGUCUUACCAAAUGGCUCUCCAUUUGUAAUUCUUGCCCUCUUUGCCGUUUUAAAGUCAUCGGAAACAGUCUCUCUACCUUCACGAGAUAGGAGUAAGGUUGAGUAUUGCAUUACCCUCUAGAAGGUGAUGAGAUGCUAGAAGAACGGGAGAGAUAAGAAACACAGAAUUGUCUUAACACAUAAUUGGCAUAGCCAAGUAAGAGUUUGAUACCCUUUACUAUUUAGGGAAACUUUUAGAAAAUAGCCACAUUUUUCAGCAAAUAGGGGCGUGCCAGCCUAACUUUCAAAAGUUACCAUCUGUAGCCAAUGUAUCAACUGUCUGCAACUGACUGUAUUUGAUAUAAAAUAUAAAUACAGUGACUUUAUGAACUGAUGUUGGCAACUGUAUGCAACUAAUGUAUUAAUUUGUAUCAAUGAAUACAAUUUGUAUUUUAUAGAAUUGUACAAAUGUAUCAAACACAAAUGCAAAAUAAGGGAGGCUCACCAACUGCGAACUUCGGACAAACAAUCUACUACGUAGUGGAGUCCUGGGACUGUGCCUCAGAUCCUGAAAUAUAGGGGGUCAACAUAGAUGUACUGGUACGCAGAGCAAUCCAAAAUAAUGUACUUUAUACAACAUAAGUGAGAGCAAUUUAUAAAACAGUUUACAUACGAUAUAAGAAAACACAUGGGCGUACUUAAAAGACUUUGAAACAUUCCUUUGAAAUCGCGGCUCACUCCUUAUCUUACUUCUGAGCUAGGUGGUACACUCUACAAUUCCACGGGUUAUAUGGAAUCCACUCUUAACUCGGCGGCCAAGCCCCCAACCCAAGUUUGUCGCAAGGGCUGGAGUCUCUAUCUCUAAUACGCCAAAGGGAACUAGGUCAGCGUAUGGUCCCUCUUGGGGACAUAAUAAACCUGUUUCGCCAAACACAAUUUCUGGCAAUGAGCCCUUACACUCAAAUGUCUUCUUCGCGUAACCACCUAACUCUCUUUAAACCCAUUUUUAACUCUUUAAGACAUGCAUUCUUUGAAAUCAAAAUCUGAAAAUCUUACUCUGUUAUGACAUUCUUCUGAUUGAUGUCAUCAUACCAAGACUUGCAAGUUAUAUCUCUAAGCCAUACAUUAUCAUGUUACAGUUCUUUCAUUCAAAACAAUGUUAAGACCACCAAGUCAUUCAAACAAUUCAAGAGGAUGUGCAUAUCGAAAUUCAUGAAAACUUGUGCAAAGAUUCUCUCUUGCAAUUCACAAACAUAUGGUGGUCAAGUAUCUUGUAACAAACCAUGCAACUCUCUAAAAUCAUCAUCUCUCAUUUAUAUAAACAAGAAAAUACCCUCUCUUCACUUCAUAACCAAAAUCAAGUCUUAAAUAAUAGUAAAGACAUUGAUACCAUGCUUCUCAAUAUGCAAAUUGAAUAUUUCAUAACCUAUGAAAACAAAAUGCUUUAUAAUAAGAGAGGGUUCAUGAUCUCAAUUCAAUCAUUCAAACUCAAACGCAUGCAUACUUAUAUACGAGUACGAAUCAAGUUUAGGGGAAAGCCUCAAGACCAAAAUAUUAUAUCAUUGAAAGAGUUCACAAUGCAUGCUUUUUAAUGAAAUUCAAGAACCCUUCGUAAAUAUAUGAUUUCUCAACAUUCAAAAUAUUAUUAAAAUGAUUUUACCAUGCCCAUGUAGUUUAGAAAAACCCCACGUACCUUAGAUUACUUGAUUCGAAGAAUAGAAUUCAAAUCUUGACUAGUCUCUUUAAAAUCUUGAACUUAAAGAUGAAUUCUUGAUCUUUUGGGAGGGAAGUUAGGGUUUUGUUCUUGAUGAAUUUUGGCAUAGUAUGCCCUAAAGACGUUUUAAUCUUCUAUUUUCACGACUUGGGACCAUGAGAAAAAGACGAGACUGCCCCUCAAUUUUUAAAAAAAUUACAGUAGAAUUCUAUUUUUGGAGCUCACCAUGACGUGGUGCAAUCAUGGUGAGUUACUGGAACUUGACCACUGUCGAUUUGAACUUUACCGUGACACGACAGAGGACCCAUCGCUAUAGUCAUCGCGACGCGGUGCAAUCGCGUUGACCUUCUGUUUUCAAAUUUUAAAUACACCUCAAACCUCGUCUGAAAAGUCCAAAACUCCCCUGAAACAUCAUCUUUACACCCCUGAACAUGAAUCAACUCAAAAAUCUACAUCUCGGGGUCGGAAAGGUCGAUUUAGAAAUCAUUAAAAUUGAGGAGCUUAAAAUAUGACUAAGUCCUAACACGUAGGAAGAUUUUUCAUGUUAUUAGCUAUUUAAGCAUAUAUGCUACUAAAUAUGGUAUCAAGUCGGAAAUGCUACGGGGCGUUACAUUCUCUAAUCCAUUUUCUUCUAAAAGAAUGUCAUAGAAAUUAAGGCGGAGAGAAUAUAAAAGGAAAAAAGAGAAACAAUGAAAACCAAACAUGAACCCCAUUAGAUUGACUUUUAGAAGAAUCAAGAAUUAAUAAAGUGUUAUCAAAUUUAUAAGCUUAGAUGACUUGGUCAAUUUGUAUCAUCACUUGUCAAAUUGUAUUUAAAUUAUCUAAACAUGUUCACCAAAUUUCAAAUCAUUCAUUGACUUAUUAUACCAAAAGUUAUUACCCCAAUAAUAUUCUAGUCUAAGUAAAUAAUUAUUGUUCCACUUGUGACCUUAUUAUACUAUUUCAAUGUUCUUUAAGAUUUUUUUUUACGCAAUAUCGUCUUAAAUUAGAUAUCUCACCUAUGAAAAUUUACUAAAUAUGUUACUCUCUUCGUUUCAGAAUAAGUAAAUUGUUGGGGUAUUUAUUGGUGUUUCAAAAUAAGUGAAUCAUUAAUUUUUUUUUCAAAUUUACCCUUAUGAUUUGACAACCAAUUAACUUUUAAAAAGGUAUUGCAAGGUCAACUUUUUUUUUUUUUUUGGUAAAAAUGGAAAGUUGUGUUAAAUUUAUGUUUUUAAUGUUUUUUCCUUAAUCUAUGUGUCAAAAUUCAACAAUUCAUUUAUUAUGAAACGGAGAAAGUAUUAUUUUUACCGUAAUAUAGUCUUAAAAAUACUAAAAAGCUUGGUCCAGUACCGACAAUUUGACAAGAAAAUAAGAAUGUUACAUAUAUUAACUUUCCCAAACUACUUUUUUUUUUUAAAAAAAAUACUAAUAUUUUCUUGGUCUACAGAAUGUUGAUUCUUUCUAGGAAAUUGUACAAACUCAUGUAUAUAUAUUUGUCUAUAUAAAACUAGAAAACCAAAUUCAUGGUAUUUGGGUUGUUGUCCAACCCCCCACCCACGUAGUGUAGCAUAAAGUUUGAAUUUUUUUCAUCUAUAUAUAUUCAACAAAAUAUGUAAUCAACCAUCACAAAUUACAUAUUUUCAUUCUACAUGGAUAAAGAUUUCGAUCUUGAUUUAGCAUUAACGGUGAUUGGAAUUUCAGGCGGAGACAUGGUAGAGCCACCAUCGUGGUGUUCAAUGCCUUCCGAUGAUCGCGAUGAGAGUAGUCAAGUUCAAUUAUUGCCUAUGGUUAAUUGUGAAAAUGGGCUUUGUACAGUAUGUAUGGAAGGUUUUCAAAGAGGUCAUGUUGAUGAUCAUGGCAAAAAAGUCCCUUGUGGUCAUGUUUUUCAUGUAAAUUGUCUAACCAAAUGGCUUUCCAUUUGUAAUUCUUGCCCUCUUUACGGUCAUAAAAUCAUUGGAAACAGUCUCUCUACCUUCACGAGAUAGGAGUAAGGUUGAGUAUUGCAUUACCCUCUAGGAGGUGAUGAGAUGCUAGAAGAGCGGGAGAGAUGAGAAACACAGAAUUGUCUUAACACAUAAUUCGUGUAGCCUAUACAUAGUAAGAAUUUGAUAACGCUUAAUUAUUUAGGGAAACUUUAGCCACAUUUUUCAGCAGGGCGCGCCAGCCUAAGUUUCAAAUAUUACCAUAUGUAGGAUGUAGCCAGUGGCGGACCAGAUUUUUUGGGUUGUGGGUGCUUUGAAAAAAAUCUUUAUUAAACAAUGUAGCUGCUGGGAUUCAAUCCCAAGAUGUGAGACAUGAAAGUUAUGCCUAGGGCCAAAGCACCCAGCCAUGAUUUUGUUCUUUGGUGCUUUUUUAUAUAUUUUACCAUUUUUUCACUGUUUUUUAUAUAAUUAUACCCCUUUUACGUCGAGUUUAGUGGGUGCUCGAGCACCCCAAAAAUGCACGUGUAGCCAAUGUAUCAACUGUCUGCAACUGACUGGAUUUGAUAUAAAAUAUAAAUACAGUGACUGUAUGAACUAAUGUAUGCAACUGUAUGCAACUAAUGUAUUAAUUUGUAUCAAUGAAUACAAUUUGUAUUUUAUAGAAUUGUACAGUUGUAUCAAACACAAAUGCAAAAUAAGAGAGGCUCACCAACUGCGAACUUCGAACAAACAAUCUACUGCGUAGCGAGGCCCAAGGAUUGUGCCUCAGAUCCUGAAAUAUAGAGGGUCAAUAUAGUUGUACUGGUACGCAGAGCAAUCCCAAAUAAUGUACUUUAUACAAUAUAAGUGAGAGCAAUUUAUAAAACAGUUUACAUACGAUAUAAGAAAACACAUGGGCAUACUUAAAAGACUUUGAAAAUUUCCUUUGAAAUCACGGCUCACUCUUUAUCUUACUUCUGAGCUAGGUGGUACACUCUACAAUUCCACGGGCUAUAUGGAAUCCACCCUUAACUCGGCGGCCAAGCCCCCCAACCCAAGUUUGCCGCAAGGGCUGGAGUCUCUAUCUCUAAUACGCCAAAGGGAACUAGGCCAGCGUAUGGUCCCUCUUGGGGACAUAACAAACCCGUAUUUGCAAAACACAAUUUCCGGUAAUGAGCCCUUACACUCAAAUGCCUUCUUCGGGUAACCACUAAGACUUGCAUUCUUUGAAAUCAAAAUCUGAAAAUCUUACUCUGUUAUGGCAUUCAUCUGAUUGGUAUCGUCAUACCAAGACUUGAAAGUCAUAUCUCUAAGCCAUACAUUAUCAUGUUACAGUUCUUUCAUUCAAAACAUUGCUAAGACCACCAAGUCAUUCAAACAGUUCAAGAGGAUGUGCAUAUCGAAAUUCAUGAAAACUUGUGCAAAGAUUCUCUCUUGCAAUUCACAAACAUGUCGUGGUCAAGUAUCUUGUAACAAACCAUGCAACUCUCUAAAAUCAUCACCUCUCAUUUAUAUAAACAAGAAAACACCCUCUCUUCACUUCAUAACCAAAAUCAAGUCUUAAAUAAUAGUAAAGACAUUGAUAUCAUGCUUCUCAAUAUGCAAAUUGAAUAUUUCAUAACCUAUGAAAACAAGAUGCUUUAUAACAAGAGAGGGUUAUAUAUGUUCAUGCUCUCAAUUCAAUCAUUCAAACUCAAACGCAUGUAUACUUAUAUAUGAGUACGAAUCAAAUAUAGGGGAAAGCCUCAAGACCAAAAUAUUAUAUCAUUGAAAGAGUUCACACUGCAUGCUUUUUAAUAAAAUUCAAGAACCCUUCGUAAAUAUAUGAUUUCUCAACAUUCAAAAUAUAUUUAAAAUGAUUUUACCAUGCCCAUGUAGUUUAGGAAAACCCCACGUACCUUAGAUUACUUGGUUCGAAGAAUAGAAUUCGAAUCUUGACUCGUCUCUUGGAAAUCUUGAACUUAAAGAUGGAUUCUUGAUCUUUUGGGAGGGAACUUGAUGAAUUUGGGCAUAUUAUGCCUUAAAGACGUUUUAAUCUUCCGUUUUCACUACUUGGGACCAUGGAAAAAAGAUGAGACUGCCCCUCAGUUUUUUAAAAAAUUACUGCAGAAUCUCCUUUUUGGAGCUCACUGCGACGUAGUGACAUGCUCAUUGCCAUACCCACCGCGACGCAGUGCAAUCGUGGUGAGUUAUUGAAACUCGACCACUGUCGAUUUGAAUUUCACUGAGACGCGACAGAGGCCCCAUCGCUAUAGUCACCACGACGCGGUGCAAUCGUGGUGACCUUCUAUUUUCAAAUUUUAAACAUUCCUCAAAUCUCAUCUGAAAAGUUUGAAACUCCCCCAAGACAACCCUUUUACAUCCUUAAACAUGAAUCAACUCAAAAAUCUACAUCUCGGGAUCGAAAAGGUCUAUUUAGAAAUCAUUAAUGUUUAGGAGCUUAAAAUAUGACUAAGUUCGCAUUCUAUUGAGUGUGGUAUCAAGUCGGAAAUGCUACGGGACGUAACAUUCUGUAAUCCAUUUUCUUCUAAAAGAAUGUCAUAGAAAUUAAGGCGGAGAGAAUAUAAAAGGAAAAAGAGAAACAAUGAAAACCAAACACGUAACCCAUUAGAUUGGCUUUUAGUAGAAUCAAGAAUUAAUAAAGUGUUAUCUGAUUUAUAAGCUUAGAUGACUUGGUCAAUUUGUAUCAUCACUUGUCAAAUUGUAUUUAAAUUGUCUAAACAUGUUCACCAAAUUUCAACUCAUUCGUUGACUUAUUGUACCAAAUGUUAUUACCCCAAUAAUAUUCUAGUCUAAGUAAAUAAUUAUUGUUCCACUUGUGACCCCAACCAUGUACUAUUUUCAUUCUACAUGGAUAAAGAUUUCGAUCUUGAUUUAGCGUUAACGGUGAUCAGAAUUUCAGGCGGUGACACGGCUGAGCCACCGGGGUGUUCUACGCAUUACGAUGAUCUCGAUGAGAGUAGUCAAGUUCAAGUAUUGCCUAUGGUUAAUUGUGAAAAUGGCCUUUGUAUUGUAUGUAUGGAAGGUUUUCAAAGAGGUCAUUUGAUGAUCAUCAUGGCCUAAAAGUCCCUUGUGGUCAUGUUUUUCAUGCAAAUUGUCUUACCAAAUGGCUCUCCAUUUGUAAUUCUUGCCCUCUUUGCCGUUUUAAAGUCCUUGGAAAUAAUAUCUCUACCUUCACGAGGUAGGACUUAGGAGUACACUAGGUACUUGUUGUUAUUAAUUUGUUGUUUCAUAGUCUCCACCACUUGACACGGAGCAAUAGAAUUUAAAUUUGAUCGGCCAGACUUACAGUGUUUUUAACAUUAAAUUUAUUUUAUUUCAGAAAUAACG
RNAcentral lists this long non-coding RNA (6970 nucleotides) under Capsicum annuum. RNAcentral describes it as "long non-coding RNA (CANN_LNC013436)". The record is from RNAcentral. Lineage: Eukaryota; Viridiplantae; Streptophyta; Magnoliopsida; Solanales; Solanaceae.